CAGGAACAAACCACAUCAAUCUUACCGUUUACAUUGGACUGAUUAGUGCCAACCUACAUGUUUAUGUCAGAAUACACACGUAUGUUUGCAUUAUCGCACUUGUCCAACUGCAUGUGAUUUAAGGUUACUGCACAUCGACAGUGUAGUGUUAGCGUGCACAUACUGAGAUUAUAAGUUUGGCUGGUAGACAGAAGAUACCAUUCAAAUGAAUGGUCAAUUGGCCGAUGCACAGUAUCUGUAUGCUCGGGCUUGGGUUUCCCAAAAACAUCAUCCACCGCAACAUUGACGACCUUUAGAUCAAAACAAGCAAAGGCAAUGAACAUAAUGAUUGUAAACCUGUUCCUCAUUAACAAAUACUCAAGAUUUAUCCAGAGGCACCAUGUGUUGGCCCUGCUUGUUAUGUACAAGCACUGUGUGAAUUCAGAUGGGAGGACAGGCAGCAGCUCGCUACACUUUUGUUCACGCCAUGCGUUUGUGAAACCAGGCCCGGUGAGUCUCAGCAGGCCUCCUUGGCUUGGCUUGGCAUCUUGCACAUCAUCAGGAUCUGCUUCAAGGCUUUCUGGACAUCCUCGUCCAUCUGACCCUGAAGGCACAUGCCACAGGUUCAGUUAAAUAACUAAAAUUACAGGGAUUUGACUGGCCAUUUUUUCACAUCUGGUGGUAUCUACUCACACGGGCAUUUUUGGGUUGAUUUGUCCAGAUUUAAGAUUUUUGUCUACGAUUUCUACCUCCACUCCACUACAAUGGGGAAUAGAAUUGUAAAAUUACAGUGUCCCCAUAAAUGGAACUACUUUGUACCAAAGAAAUAAUCCCUUAUGUUGUGGAAAGUCAUUUUUCAGUCUUGUGAGUGCCCCAAAACACAAUUCCAUGUACUUCUAUAGUAUUGGGAAUAUAUCAAAUAAACACCAUAACAAUCUGCAUGACUAGAUAACACAACUAGUAAGUGAGAAUUUUUUUUUCAUAAUUUGGGCAAAUCAGUCCGUUAAAAUUUAAGGUGAAAACUUAAGCUGCAAGCUUUGGGUAAACUAAUGGAGGGGUUUACCUGGACAGCAUAGAGGAGGUGCAUCCUGUAGACUGACACGAUCUCAUUGUGCUGCUUCUUUGACUCCUACAAAGAAAACAAGAGGUAAAUACUAAAGGUAGUGUUCAAGAAUCACAUUUGAGUAUUCAAAGUACAAUGCACUCUCUUGUGAACAAUCUAAAAAAUAAAAAACAGUUAAAUAAAUCUUACAGCGAGCUGGUACUGGAGUUGUUUGAUUUGUUGCUGCAUCGUCUCCAGCUGCUGGUUUUGCUGCAGCCUCUUGGAGGGAGAGCCAGAGCUGUAGGAGAGCUGUGAUAGGCUGUUUAAGGCGUCUUUCAGCUUCCCCACCUCUCGUGACAGGUCGUCUAUCUGAGAGGGAAAAACAGAACACUUGCAGUUAAUGAAAUAAUGAACUUUAAGGAGAUUUUCUUUGUCUAAAAAAUUAAACAAUCUAGUUAGAGUGGAUAAAUACAUGUCUCAAGUGAUCAGAUUAUUACUGACUCUCUUAUUCUUCUCUCUCUCUGAGGCAACGUGAUUCUCCACAAGCUGUUUGAGUUGACACACAGAAUCCUGAGACUCAGCCAGCCUAGAGGCUCAUCUUUCGUCUCACCUUCUGCCAUGCAUCAGCAGCCUCCAGAGCCAUCUCGUCCUGCUUCCUGAGGGCCCCCUGGAGGAGCUGCGUCAGGUGGUUCACCUCGCCCUCCAGUUGCUCUCUCGUGGUCUCAUAUUCCACACGGGAGACUGAAUCAUCUGGUGUGACGUCCUUCUCUACUGUCAGCCUUUUUGUGAAAUAGACAUGAGAACCACAUGAAGACGACUAGUGUUGGAGUAACAUAAAGCAGUUGGACUAGUGACCACAAAGUUCUGAUGCAUGGUCAACUUGAGCAGCUUACCAAUACAGGAGAAACAAUCGAAUUGAUUGCCUUUUAGCCUCCACAAGCUGGACUGUUUUUGAAUAUUUUUGUAGUGUAGUAUACAGUAUCCAAUAGUGGAGUAUACAGUAUCCAGUAGCAUAUAUGUACUUUGUUACAUUCCUCCACUGCUUUUCUAAUUGCUCACGUACCAUUUCAUGAGCCCCACCUCCACCCCAGUGUCCAGCUGUCGUCUCUAGUAAAAGCAGGAAGAGAUGUGGCAUCACAGUUUUCUUUCUCACCUGUUCUGAAGAGCCUCCACCUGCAGUGUUUUCUGGUGCAGCUGUUCCUUCAGGGCUUCUGACUGGCUUUCCAACUCUUUGAUGGCAUUUCCCAGAGAUGACAUCACCUGUGUGUGGUCCGCGAGUGCCACAGAGCUCUGUGCCUGAGCUUCCGCCUCCUGCCUCAGCAGUGAAAUCUCCUCUUGAGCAGCAGAGUACUUCUUCUCCGUCUCAGCUAGCGUCGUCUGCAGCUCCUCCACCUUGCUGUUUAGCAGCGGGACCUGUUGUUGUUGCUGCUGUUGUUCGGAGGAGGGAGAUGAGGCUGCGCUGCUCUCAGCUCGGGCCUCAGCCAGCUGUUUCUGCACAGCACUUAGCUGACUCUUUGUUUCACUGUAGGAGUGCGAGAGUUCCAGCAAGCGCCGCUGCAUCCCAGCAAUUACCUCGUUUAGCUCAGCCUUCAUUUCUUCAAAGUCUUUGGCUGCAGCUUCAACUGGCACUGUACCCCUUAGAGCCUCCUAAACAACAGGCAAUAAGUGAAAGGUUGAAUGGGUUAAAUAAAAGGAAAUAUGACACAUUACAGAGCAAAGUUAGGAUUUGACACAAAAAGUAGAAUUUAAAAAUAUCACUGUCAGACUCAUGGACAGUAAAAAAAAAAAAGGGGAGGUGGGGGAGUCAAAAUCAAUACAGCAGAAACAGACAGAAUACCUGGAGCAUCCUAAUCUCCUCCUGCGCCUCCUUGUACAGCUCUUCAAUCUGUGCAGUCCUCUGUUCUUUCUCCUUUACACUGUGUCUUUCCUCCUCUACCCUCCUCAGCGCCUCCUCCAGCUGUCUGAUUCGUUCUGCUGCUUUCUCUUGCUCGGGUCCUGAUUGGGCGAGCUGGGCCUUCAGCUGUUUUACUUCACGUUCGAGUUCGGAUGACGCGCGUCUCCGGACCUCCUGUUCCUCCAUCAGCUCACCUCCUCCCCUUCCCAUCUGCGCUCUCAGCUCCUCCACGUCCUCCACAGCUUGGUGGUAUCUCUCCUGAGUAUCUGUCAGCUUGGCCUGAAGCUCUGCUAGACUUUCCAUCAACUCUUCCUCUCUUCCUUUCUCCCGCACACUUUCAUAUUCCUCUCUUUCCCUGUCUCGCUCAGGUUUCAGCUGGGCCUGCAGCGAGCGGUUUUCCUUUCUGGUUUCUAACAGUUUCAUUUGAACGCCCUCUAGCGCCUGUCUCAACAGUCUGAUCUCCUCUUUGCUCCCUUCACUCUCUUCUUCCUCCCGUCUGACGCCUGAACCGUCUUCUCUUUCCACCUGGUUGGUGGAAGGGACUUGUGGCGGAAGUGAAUCAAACUCAUCCCUGGUGGAGUGGAAGGAGGAGUUGGAGGCCAUGCUGUUUGGACGACUGGUCUCCUUCAGGUCCUCGCUUCCUUGGAGGAACGGAUAUUUCUGUGAGGUGAAUCUUUUGGGAGUGUCACUUUUGUUGGAUGCAGGGGUCCCAGUGGAGAUAACAGUGGCAGGAGAAGAGGGUCCAGAGCUCUGAAGAAGGAUUAAGUUGAUUAGUUUUUGGAUUUGUUUUCGUCAUAACACCUUGUCAAAUGAGUAAAUUGUUUUUCUAAUCUGUUUGUACAGAAAUCUUACAGGAAGUAAGAUUCAAAAUAUUAGUCCUGUUACAACAAUUAAAUAUGUUUAUAUAAAGUACAUUUUUAAUUCCUACACUCUGGAAGACAGAAUGGUACAUUCAUUAACUGAAGACUCGCUGACAGAGAGAGCAAUAAUAUAACAGAUAAUAUGUAAACAGGCAAACACUCAUUUAAUGAAUAUACUUCAGACAUGCAUUAAUAUAAAGAGUGGCAUACUGAUCCAUGCAGACAGACACACAGAGAAACAUGCAUUUACCUGCAGUGGGCUAAUAGGAGGUGGAGGUGCUUUUCGUUUUUUGGGAGUUGUGAUCCGUUCAUCACUUAGCUUAGCUACUUGAUCAUGCUGAGGAGCCAGCAAAAGUUUGGAAGAAAAAAAAACGGAACGAGAGAAAGAGAGAAAAAGAAAGGUGGGAUUCAGUGCUGGUUAGUGAAAGGAGAGUCGAUCAAUGAGUGCUACACUAAGAUUUUUUUGUUUUCCAAAAAUAGCAACUAAAAGAUCUCUGACAAAGCUGAGAAAUUUGAUCUUGACACAUUAGAAAAGCUGACACCACUGUCCAUGAGGUUUAGCUACACAACAGAAACUUUUGUUCAUUAUUUUUAGCUCUUUGUCACUGUGAAUCACAUUUAAAUACUAAAAAGUCAUUCACAGUCAUUAAUAGUUGAUUGGUUGUUGUAAGUUCAGGUGUUUUAGAAUCUUUGACUGCCUGUUUGCGAGGAAGAAAAGUAUUGAAGAACGAGACUAGUGUCUUACCUGAGGACUUCUAGGAGACUUUGUAUCUGUCAAAGGAAACAUGAAGAACAUCACAAAUCAAAUAAAAGUGAUAAUUACAGCAUUCCUUUUUCUACUACAGGUAACAUAUCUCAUUCAUAGAGAACAGCUUUCACCAAACAUGUAAAGAGAAGUAAUACUGACGAGAGAACUCUAGAUGGCAGUGUUACCUGUGUGCUGAAACCAGAGCAGUAUGAAUCUCUACCACACAGAGGCCAUACAUUUAUGUGUGUGUGUGUGUGUGUGUGUGUGUGUGCACGCAUCACUCUUACCUGAGACCUGUUGUCUCUUCAGGGCAGCAGUGAGGGCAGCUUUGAUGUCAGAGUUGGCCGCGUACUGUGCGACAUCGUGGCCUUGUGAAUCUACAGCCGACAGAUCUGCUCCUCGCUGAACCAAGACUUCAACAACAGAAACGCUGUUGGACUCGCUGGCCAGCAUCAAGGCUGUCCUGCGACACGGAAAAGUACAAAACUUGAUCAUCGACGCAACAUCUAUCCAUCAUCGAAGAAUAUAUGUGUUUUUAAUCAGU
Micropterus dolomieu (smallmouth bass) is the source of this 5067-nucleotide long non-coding RNA. RefSeq lists it as uncharacterized. The record is from RefSeq and is a predicted model, not a curated record. NCBI's taxonomy places the organism in Eukaryota, Metazoa, Chordata, Actinopteri, Centrarchiformes, Centrarchidae. The transcript has 3 exons.